GGGGGCGGGACUCGGGAGGCUGCGCGCGGCGGCGCCGCCCCGCGCUGGGCAGGGGAAGGACCCGGCUGCUGGCGAGUCCGCGGGGAGCCGCGCUGCGCCCGCGGGAGCCCGGCCCGGCCCUGCUUCCUCCUGGCGCGCAGCCCCCAGCCCGGGCUCUGGUCAUGGCCAGAGACCUUCGCUUCGGGGCCGCGUCCGUCAGGCUGGAGAUCGCUGCCUCGCAGUGACGAGUGUGCGGCGUGAAGCGGUGUGUGUGCGCGGUAACCAGCGGGGCCGCCUGUUGCCUGGCCCUGCCUCGUUCACUGGGAACCCCCGGCUGGUCUCGUACCUAGACGUACAGUUCUAGCUCACACCCGUCUUCCUGCCACAGAGCGGCCACUUGCCCAGCUGAUAGUUCAUUUGCUGUUGUUGACACCUGGCCGAGAGUGAAGAGAGAAGGAUGUCGUGCCCUGGGCUCUGGAUGUACAUGAAGAGGGGAAGGUGCAGACAUACUUGGCUUCUUGCAGGCAGUUAAAACGGUACUGAGCCCGCUGAAGUCUCAGGAUCCCAACCCCCGAACCUGGGUUAAACUGUUUAAUUUUGGACAGUGACCAGGCCACGUUAACGUGACUCUUUGCAUCCACACGUUUCAUCUACAUUAUACAACAGAUUUCUAUACAAAUGAUAACCUGAGCGAUGAGCUGUCUGACAGUGACCCCCAGUCCAGAAAGGAGGGAAGCAGCAAGGCAUAAAGUGUUUUCUGGCUACUACGUUCCCUACAGUACAGAGAGUUCUAUCAAACUGCCUGCUGCUUGGGGAUCAUGUAAUGAAAUAAAAAUACAGUACCAACAAUUAA
Mauremys reevesii (Reeves's turtle) is the source of this 832-nucleotide long non-coding RNA. RefSeq lists it as uncharacterized. The transcript is spliced from 4 exons. Lineage: Eukaryota; Metazoa; Chordata; Testudines; Geoemydidae. The record is from RefSeq and is a predicted model, not a curated record.